UAGUAGCGUGGGUUUGUAACUUAGCAGGGCAUUAAAGUGAUUGGUUGCCUGCAUGAAGCCUAACCAGGUGAGGUUAUGGUGGUCUUGGUCUGUUCACCUUGGGUGAAAUCGCACAAAGUGCGCCCCUAAGCCCUUGGGUCAGUAGGGUUCCCCAUCCACCAUGGUUGGGUAGCUAAUAAAAAUUGAUGUUCAGAUUGGGGCUGGGUUCUAACCCAAGCCCCGCAGACCAAGAUAUGUCUAUCCUCAGCGUGCUGCCUGGUGUGGUAUCUCACUCCACAUUCACUUUUUGCAAUCCACUAAUCCAAUUUUUCCGCUGCGUUCUGGUUUUAAACUCUCCCCCUCUUCCAUUAAUGUAGAUUGUCACUUGUAUUAAUAAUAACCAAAAAAUC
Molecule: long non-coding RNA, 389 nt
Filed under: Malus domestica (apple)
Lineage: Eukaryota; Viridiplantae; Streptophyta; Magnoliopsida; Rosales; Rosaceae
Description: long non-coding RNA (MDOM_LNC002154)
Source: RNAcentral